Unclassified non-coding RNA from Panthera pardus (leopard), 210 nucleotides. The record is from Ensembl. NCBI's taxonomy places the organism in Eukaryota, Metazoa, Chordata, Mammalia, Carnivora, Felidae.
UUUUUAGCUUCAGAUCCAGGUCAGAGGUUGACACAAAAACUUAAAUUCUGUGAUUGGUCAUAUGUGUGUGAUUCAUGGAGGUCCAGUUCAUGAACACAUGAAAGGAUAAUUUUCUAAUUAAUGUCAGCUUUGAGUUUAGGAUAUAUCCCAGACAUUUUAGUUGUCCUUACUUAUUUUGGAGACAUUUCUCUCAGCCAUUAAUGAAGAAAU